Molecule: ribosomal RNA, 246 nt
Filed under: uncultured bacterium
Lineage: Bacteria
Description: partial 16S ribosomal RNA
Rfam family: Bacterial small subunit ribosomal RNA
Source: RNAcentral
AAGGGUGCGCAGGCGGGACUUUAAGUUGGUGGUGAAAUCUUGAGGCUUAACCUUGAGCUUGCCAUCAAAACUGGAUUUCUUGAAUAUGGUCGAGGGAGGCGGAAUGCGUGGUGUAGCGGUGAAAUGCAUAGAUAUCACGUGGAAGGCCUAUUGCGAAGGCAGCUUCCCAGCCCAUUAUUGACGCUCAUGCACGAAAGCGUGGGGAUCGAACGGGAAUUAGAUACCCCGGUAGUCCACGCAGUAAAC